Molecule: ribosomal RNA, 287 nt
Filed under: Janthinobacterium lividum
Lineage: Bacteria; Pseudomonadati; Pseudomonadota; Betaproteobacteria; Burkholderiales; Oxalobacteraceae
Description: partial 23S ribosomal RNA
Rfam family: Bacterial large subunit ribosomal RNA
Source: RNAcentral
AUAUGGUAGGAGAGCGUUCUGUAAGCCUGCGAAGGUGUCUUGUAAAGGAUGCUGGAGGUAUCAGAAGUGCGAAUGCUGACAUGAGUAGCGAUAAUGGGGGUGAAAAGCCUCCACGCCGUAAGCCCAAGGUUUCCUGUUCAACGUUCAUCGGAGCAGGGUGAGUCGGCCCCUAAGGCGAGGCAGAGAUGCGUAGCUGAUGGGAAGCAGGUUAAUAUUCCUGCACCGUCGUAUGAUGCGAUGGGGGGACGGAUCGCGGAAGGUUGUCCAACUGUUGGAAUAGUUGGUUU